CCUAAAAAUUAAGUAAAAGAAGAAAACUUUUAGUUGUAAUUAUGCAACAAAAAAUAAAUAACUGAUAGAUAUAAUAUCACAGAUAUACCCUUUGAAAACAAAAAAAAGUUUUCCAGUGGUGCCUGCUGGUGUAAUGCUUGCAGUAUUUAACAUGGAGUUUAUUUAUUUGCAUCUUUGUGUUACUGCAGUGAAUAAUAGGGAAACAAAACAGAUCAGGAUGAAAAUACUCUUUAAUUCACUUAGUUUUUCAGAGUACUUGUAUGCUUUCUUAUAUAUACACACAGAGUCCCCACUGAAAUCAGCUGCACUUGAAGCACUAUGAACUUUUCCAAGCCAGGCUGGAGAUCUUAAUUCAGGCACAGAGAAGAAUCUAAAAAUGCCAAUUAAAGUAUAAACCAGAUUUUUCCCAAGUUGAAUUAUUUCCAGAUAGUCAAAGAAACACUGUGAACAUUGACUCUCGGCUUUUGCACUUCUUUGCACUCCUGGUUUAAAUGUUUCCAUCCUACCCUCGGCUCUCACUUCACUAUUUCAUCUUCUCCCACUCAGAGUGUUCCCUCUCUGUGCACAUUUGCCCCACUGAUACUCAGUCUCUAUUUCCUUGCCACGCUGACUCUCAUUCUUGUAAAUCUGAACCUGUUCUGGACUCAUUUACUGUUCCUUUCUGUUUCCAGUCCCUGAGGCCUUAACCUUUCCUCUGCUUCCUCUAACCUCAUCCUCCCAUCCCUUCUUGGCUCCAUGCCUUCAUAUCAGACACUGCUGCUCUGGGCCAAACAGCAGAAUCUCAGGACUGAACCUUCAGAGUCACUGCUGCUGUUCCAGUAACCAGACAGAGCAAAAGACAGAUCUGCAAUUACAGAGUGCUGGAGGGCAGCCUGCGUGACACUGAAAGAGGUUCGGCAGUAUUUAGCUUAAGUCUCUCCUGAACAAAUAUAGACUGGUUUGUUUUUGGCAUUGGGUAGAUUUGUGUAGGAGUGGCAGUGACCCUUGAGCCUGCCUUAUUCUGAAUUCUGUUCCUAAAUCUUAUGUCACAAAAACUUCUAAAAAGGAGAGUCCUGAAAAAAAAAAAUUGAUUGGAGAAAACAACUGUUUUCGUGUCCCUUGCAUUCAUGAAAAUAUAGAAUUCUUCACACAGUCCCAGGUGAGGCAGGCACUAGACAAAUAAUUUCAUAAUUAUUAUGGUUGAAUUUUAGUUGCUUAUAACUUUGGCAACAGCCAAAUCAUGAAAAGCAUAGCAGUGUUAAAACAGCUCUUUGUAGUUACCAUUCUGCAUCUUCUAUUUGCUUGCAAAUCUUUCAUUAAUGAAUCUCCUAGUAUUACAGUGCUGUUUCUUAAAAAAAUAAUAUGAAAGCAAAUAUGCAACUGCCUCAGGUUAUAGGAGGAAAAAAACCUCUGCAAAUCAAGGGACAAAAUUCUGUCACAUGGGCAGAAUUUUUCAGAAGCAUCCUGAGCCAUAUGUGUGCUUUUUGGUGUGAAAUUGAUAACAUAGGCUUGCAGCAGGCACGACAUACAACUAGGAUACAUGAAGCCUUACUCCAAACCACUCUACUAUUCAUACUGUUGGCCCUCGUCAGUAGCAAACCUUCAAGGCCUUUUCCUGCAAAGCUAUAAGGAGAAGUUUGAAUCCUGAGCUGCAGUCCAGCCUCCUUUAAAGCUCUAUUUAGUCUCUAAAACCCUGACACAUAACACCCUUUCCUGUUGGUCCAAUGCCCAGUUCAGCAGGUGUUAUCAGUACAAAACAGAGGGCAAGUCCAGAGUACUAGAGGCUCUGCAGAACAUGAUAAGGUUGCACAUCAGGUUUCAACAUGACCCACCAUGGCAGAACUCAAAUAUUCUGAUAUGAAAACCAUGUGUUUAGUGGUCCCCAAACACCUAUUUGAGAAUUUCCAUUCUUGUAAGCAAAAUAUGUUACACUACUUCAGAAAUAGCAAGAGGGACAAAAACAACUUGGCAAUAUGGAGGUACUGAAUGCUGUAGCAUCCCUCCACUGUUUAACAUCCAGGUAAUUUUCCCAUGCAAUUUUCAUACUUGGGUCCCAAUUCAGACUUUCUAAAGAGAUACAGAAUUUCUGAAAAAUCCAGCAGAGAUGGGGAGAGUCCCCCAGAGACAAGAAUUCUCCAGGAAACGAGAAGGAACAGGUAACAGGCAACUUGGAAAUCUUCCCAAUUCAAUGGGACAUUCCUUUAAACAACUGCACAGGUGAAAAUCUUCAGAAAUUCAAUAUACCCAGAAAGAAACCUCUGGGUUUCUCAAGAUGUGCAAGAAAGAACUUUUCACAGUGAAACACCACCAUAAAUGGUAAUCAAUCACCCCCCCCGGAGGAUGACCUGAACGAUAAACAGGAGAAAUCUUCAGUUGAUCCCAAAUUCAGUAUUGAUGCAAACAAAAUCCUCUCAUGUGAAAACAGAACCUGAGUCAACAUAUGGCAGGUGCACAGACUGACACAGGGUCUCACCUGGGCUCUUCUGCACAAAGGUAUAAAUGUGGAUCCGGGUUCCAGUGCUUCCUGCAUCAAACAUUAUGCCAUAAAAAGUGUUGGUCUUGGCAUUUAUAGGGCACGUGUUAGGUGGGAAGAGAUCCUGAAACCACAUCUCCCUAUUUGAAUGGGAAAGAACAGGGGACAAAGAAGAAAAGACCA
Long non-coding RNA from Tympanuchus pallidicinctus (lesser prairie-chicken), 2635 nucleotides. RefSeq lists it as uncharacterized. NCBI's taxonomy places the organism in Eukaryota, Metazoa, Chordata, Aves, Galliformes, Phasianidae. The transcript is spliced from 2 exons. The record is from RefSeq and is a predicted model, not a curated record.